RNAcentral lists this ribosomal RNA (428 nucleotides) under uncultured bacterium. RNAcentral describes it as "partial 16S ribosomal RNA". It matches the Rfam family "Bacterial small subunit ribosomal RNA", at positions 354 to 796 of the family's 1533-position model. The record is from RNAcentral.
GUAGGGAAUAUUGCGCAAUGGACGAAAGUCUGACGCAGCGACGCCGCGUGAGUGAUGAAGGCCUUAGGGUCGUAAAGCUCUGUUGCAGGGGAAUAAAAAAAUGAAGGUACCCUGUGAGGAAGGAUCGGCUAACUUCGUGCCAGCAGCCGCGGUAAGACGAGGGAUCCUAGCGUUGCUCGGAAUCAUUGGGCGUAAAGAGGGCGUAGGUGGCUUGGUAAGUCAGGUGUGAAAGCCCAGGGCUCAACCCUGGAAGUGCAUUUGAUACUGCUGAGCUUGAGUGUCGGAGAGGUUACCGGAAUACCUGGUGUAGUGGUGAAAUACGUAGAUAUCAGGUGGAACACCGGAGGCGAAGGCGGGUAACUGGACGAACACUGACACUGAGGCCCGAAAGCGUGGGGAUCAAACAGGAUUAGAUACCCUAGUAGUCC